RNAcentral lists this unclassified non-coding RNA (399 nucleotides) under soil metagenome. RNAcentral describes it as "partial contains 5.8S ribosomal RNA, internal transcribed spacer 2, and large subunit ribosomal RNA". The stretch from base 1 to 120 matches the Rfam family "5.8S ribosomal RNA", at positions 35 to 154 of the family's 154-position model. The record is from RNAcentral.
GAUGAAGAACGCAGCGAAAUGCGAUACUUGGUGUGAAUUGCAGAAUCCCGUGAACCAUCGAGUCUUUGAACGCAAGUUGCGCCCGAAGCCUCGGCUAAGGGCACGUCUGCCUGGGCGUCACGCAUCGCGUCUCCCCCAAACCGCCAAGGCGGAGGGGAAGGAAGAUGGCUUCCCGUGCCUCACCCGGCGCGGUUGGCCUAAAUUUGGAGCCCGCGGCACAUAGCUCUCGCGGCGAUAGGUGGUGAACAAGGCCUUGGCCGUGCAAACAACCCGCUGCGAAGCUCUAUGUCACGUGCGCUCGUCGGACCCUUUGAAGUUGCCUUCGGUGACUUAAAACCUUUGCGACCCCAGGUCAGGCGGGGCUACCCGCUGAAUUUAAGCAUAUCAAUAAGCGGAGGA